This 460-nucleotide ribosomal RNA is filed under the name uncultured bacterium. RNAcentral describes it as "partial 16S ribosomal RNA". It matches the Rfam family "Bacterial small subunit ribosomal RNA", at positions 338 to 795 of the family's 1533-position model. The record is from RNAcentral.
CCUACGGGGGGCAGCAGUGAGGAAUAUUGGUCAAUGGGCGUAUGCCUGAACCAGCCAAGUCGCGUGAGGGAUGAAGGUUCUAUGGAUCGUAAACCUCUUUUAUAAGGGAAUAAAGUGUGGGACGUGUCCUGUUUUGUAUGUACCUUAUGAAUAAGGAUCGGCUAACUCCGUGCCAGCAGCCGCGGUAAUCCGGAGGAUCCGAGCGUUAUCCGGAUUUAUUGGGUUUAAAGGGUGCGUAGGCGGCAUUUUAAGUCAGCGGUGAAAGUCUGUGGCUCAACCAUAGAAUUGCCGUUGAAACUGGGAGGCUUGAGUAUGUUUGAGGCAGGCGGAAUGCGUGGUGUAGCGGUGAAAUGCUUAGAUAUCACGCAGAACCCCGAUUGCGAAGGCAGCCUGCCAAGCCAUGACUGACGCUGAUGCACGAAAGCGUGGGGAUCAAACAGGAUUAGAUACCCGAGUAGUC